This 88-nucleotide transfer RNA is filed under the name Oscillospiraceae bacterium. RNAcentral's name for it is "tRNA-Leu". It matches the Rfam family "tRNA". Rfam says of the family: Transfer RNA (tRNA) molecules are approximately 80 nucleotides in length. Their secondary structure includes four short double-helical elements and three loops (D, anti-codon, and T loops). Lineage: Bacteria; Bacillati; Bacillota; Clostridia; Eubacteriales; Oscillospiraceae. The record is from RNAcentral.
GCGCGAGUGGUGGAAUCGGCAGACUCGCCGGCUUCAGGUGCCGGUGCUCUUCACGGGCGUGCGGGUUCAAGUCCCGCCUCGCGCACCA